Long non-coding RNA from Thalassophryne amazonica, 134 nucleotides. RefSeq lists it as uncharacterized. Lineage: Eukaryota; Metazoa; Chordata; Actinopteri; Batrachoidiformes; Batrachoididae. The transcript has 7 exons. The record is from RefSeq and is a predicted model, not a curated record.
UCAGGCAGACAAAUGGUCAACCCACAUCUCUAAAACAGUCAUCUAUCUGCUAUGGCCCAUGGCCAGGUGCAAUGUGGGUGUAUCUUGGCUUCUCAACACUGAAGCACCUGUAUGCUGGAUCAUGUUCAGGGAAA